This is a long non-coding RNA of Arabidopsis thaliana (thale cress), 353 nucleotides long. RefSeq annotates it as other RNA. Lineage: Eukaryota; Viridiplantae; Streptophyta; Magnoliopsida; Brassicales; Brassicaceae. The record is from RefSeq. The transcript has a single exon.
UUCGGCUCUUCAUGAUUUAAUCCUGGCCAUUGAUACAGGUAAAUGACUUUGACCCAAUUUUUUUUUAAAAACACACGGAUUCUCCUCCAUUAGGUCAAAUGUUUUGUUAAAGAACCACUAAAAAGUAAAAACCUAGCCUCUCAUUUCAUUUUCAGUUUUUUCAGCCUCCCUUUUCAAACUCAAUCAGCGAAGAGCGAUGAAAGUUUUAGAAAAAAGGUUGAUGUGGUAGUUUCUUGGGUGGAAUAAUAUCUUGGGAUCUCAUAAUCGGGAAGGAAGGAGCAGCUUCGAUUAAAUCCCUGUGCCGGAAAAACUCUGAGUUAAAGCCUCAAUCUGCAAGUUUGUUCCUUUUUCUC